Molecule: non-coding RNA, 717 nt
Organism: Poecilia reticulata (guppy)
Lineage: Eukaryota; Metazoa; Chordata; Actinopteri; Cyprinodontiformes; Poeciliidae
Source: RefSeq, a predicted model, not a curated record
GUGGGAAAGAUGAAAGCUAAUGAUCAGUAAUUUAACAUGCAACAAGAAAAAAGGAACAAUGAGAGCUUUUCAACACUGCUCUGAGAGAGAUCACAAAAUAUAGUACAUCUGCAAUUUGGUAGAGGUAACGGAUUCAGCCUAAAGCACUGUGACCAGCCUCGAGACUCAGCUUAAGGGAGCAUCCAUGUGCAGUCUGCACUCAUGCAUUUUUCAUGAAUACCCACUGGAGUUCUUUUGAAGGACUACAUUCUCUAGUCACCAUCAGAGUUUGGUUACAGUGGCUGUGAUAUGUAGUAGAGGGGAGAAAAUUGCAUUGGCCCCAGAUAAAGGCCACCGAAGAUGAAUACGCCCGACAGAAGUGGAACCUUUUAAAGUAGGGCGGAUUAAUUGGAGUAACUUUGACCAGAACUCCUUCAGAAAACAGCAGAAGGAGCAAAUGCUAUCAAUCUCUGCAAUAUGGGAGUCUGCAUCAGACACCAGACACGUCGCUCGGCCACUGCAAGGCUGAACGUCAGAGUCAGCAAAAACAAAUCAGGAAAACAGAACGGGAGUGGACCUUUAUGCCACGGAGGAAAACACCAUGAAAUAAAGUGAGCAUGGGGGAGGCGGAUAAAAACAAAACUGUUGACAUCGAAGUUGCAAAACUGAGGAGGCAAAAUGGAGGCAAUGAUGCAGAAGGAGGAAUUUUAGUCUUAAAAAGGUAAAGUCCUCAUCCUG